AUUGAACGCUGGCGGCAGGCUUAACACAUGCAAGUCGAGCGGGGGAAGGUAGCUUGCUACCGGACCUAGCGGCGGACGGGUGAGUAAUGCUUAGGAAUCUGCCUAUUAGUGGGGGACGACAUCUCGAAAGGGAUGCUAAUACCGCAUACGUCCUACGGGAGAAAGCAGGGGAUCUUCGGACCUUGCGCUAAUAGAUGAGCCUAAGUCGGAUUAGCUAGUUGGUGGGGUAAAGGCCUACCAAGGCGACGAUCUGUAGCGGGUCUGAGAGGAUGAUCCGACACACUGGGACUGAGAGACGGCCCAGACUCCUACGGGAGGCAGCAGUGGGGAAUAUUGGACAAUGGGGGGAACCCUGAUCUAGCCAUGCCGCGUGUGUGAAGAAGGCCUUAUGGUUGUAAAGCACUUUAAGCGAGGAGGAGGCUACUUUAGUUAAUACCUAGAGAUAGUGGACGUUACUCGCAGAAUAAGCACCGGCUAACUCUGUGCCAGCCGCCGCCGUAA
RNAcentral lists this ribosomal RNA (501 nucleotides) under uncultured bacterium. RNAcentral's name for it is "partial 16S ribosomal RNA". It matches the Rfam family "Bacterial small subunit ribosomal RNA", at positions 30 to 523 of the family's 1533-position model. The record is from RNAcentral.